Molecule: long non-coding RNA, 2974 nt
Organism: Salvelinus fontinalis (brook trout)
Lineage: Eukaryota; Metazoa; Chordata; Actinopteri; Salmoniformes; Salmonidae
Exons: 2
Source: RefSeq, a predicted model, not a curated record
UUGGCUGUCAGAGCAGGUGUUGGACAGGGUAUAAAGGCCAUCUGGAGUGAGGGAUUGCUGAGCAGUGAGAAUUAAGACCUCCACACACUGACAGGGCUCAGACGAACCAUCUGGUCCCCCCUCGCUUAAAGAACCUGUUCCCAGCUUCUUCACAAACCGACCUCCGGCGCUCACGCUCUCUCACUAAAACAUACAUGUUCACUCACUCCCCUUGAUUAUCAUCUGCUGUCGGGAGGUUAGUGGAGUGUGAAGACCUGCUUCUUCCUCAGAGAGAUUUCUUUGUUUCUUUUUUCUUGUGACUUUUUGGAGUGGAGUUGGGCCGGCAUGGCGUAGAUGAGACGUGCAUUUGGACCCAGCAUGUUAGUCUGUCUCUGGACUUUGUGUCUGUCCCUAAGUCUCAUCUGGACUUGUCAAGUGACCUAGGCAGCGAUCUACAGACUCGCAGACCGAUGAAACCUACAACAUGGCCCAACAAGUGCCAGCGGGUUCCAACGGAGUGUGGCUACCGCGUGGUUUAUACGGAGUUCCCGAAGGUGGAGUGUCAAGCCUACAGCUGGAUCUGGUGAAGGCAGACAGACACCUAUGCCCCCCUACAGUCAAAAUACACGAUCGCAAGACUCUGGCUGUGGACAACCUCUUGAAUUAAGUAGUUACCAUCCAGAGAACAGACCACAUCCAACCUUCAAUUUGUCAACUUGUUCAAUCAAAGAAGGAACCAAUUCCCAAAUUGAACGACCCAACUCCAAAAGGUUCGUCCUUCGUUUCAAUAAAUGUGUGCGUGUGUUAAUGUUAUUAAAAUUUGGGACAGAAGGACCUCAAUUGGCACGGAUUCCAAAUGGGCAUAGAUUCAAAUUCCAAUAGAUUCUCAAACACAAGUACCAUAAAAAGUAGCAACAUACUCUGACUGUACAGUAGUAUCCUAUCAUCCCAAUUUGAUUGCUCAGCUUCCUGCCCUCCUCUCCUUACUUUAGUGACCACUGAUCUUGAUCACACCGACAGUGUCAUUGUUUUUUGGUACACAAAAAGUACAUUAAUUUCCAAUGGAAAGCUGUGAUUGCCAUGCAGCAUUUCAGAGGCAGUGGCAGUGCUUUCUGUAUAAAUUCGAUUUGUCGAAAGUAUGCAUAAAAUCGUAUGCGUAGACGGUAUGACAUAAAUGGUAGCAGAAGGUGAAUGUUUAACUUUUGUUGCACACAUAUCCAGAUGAUGCCGCGUACCAUUUUACACAAUGAUUAACAUAGUUAAAGGUCAAAUAAAAAAUAAAGGUGUGAUUGAGGUGUAACGCCUUGAUCACACCGAUAGUGUCAUUUCGCAAAAUAGUAAGCGGUAUCAUCUCGAUUUGUGUGCAACAAAAGUUCAACAUGAACUUUCUGCUACCAUUUCUGUCAAGCAGUCUACGCAGUUUGACGCAUACGUUCGAUAAAUCCAAUUGAUGCAUCACACAGAACACACUGUAACUGCCUCUGCAAUUCUGCAAAGCAAACUCAGCGUUCCAUUAGAAAUGAAUGUACUUCUGGUGUCCCAAAAUGCCAUGACUGUCGGUGUGAUCGAGGCGUAAGCGACCAAUUGAGUAGUUUGAUGAGGACUCCGACCAUAUGUCAAUAUUGUAUCACCUGUUGUUUACGAAGCAUGUGACAAAUAAAAGUUUGAUUUGACCUCGUGACAAGCCACAAGACGUGCUUCUAGAUGUCGACGCCAUAAACCCGGCACUUCCCGAAUGUGGCCCUCAAAUCUCAACCAGAUACCCUUCAUUACCAUGCAGUGUUACAAAGGUCUAUAGUUAUAUGCGUGAUAUUUUCCUAUCGGUUCCUUCGUAGGUGUUCAGUCUUCUGUAUGUAGCAGACCGUUAUGUUUUCAAUGUGAGGAAGCGAGAGCGCCAUCGGUCAACUUCACAAACCUAGGCUGGAUUUACACUCUACUAUGCACGCUCCAUACAGGCUCCGCAAACGCUUUGCGACUUCACCCGCACUGAGGUUUGAGCUAUGCAUGGCAGAGCGUGUAACUUCACACAACUGUCAGUGAUGAAUUGCUCAGCAGAAAGCUUGACUGUGGAGUUCACUCAGCCUUACAGAACGACUCCUUAGCCUCACCCGUCGACUGGUUUGUCAGGCUAUGGAGCUAUUUCACCGUUCACGUCACUGUGUGUACAGUAUAUAAUCAAUUAUUUCAAACAAAACAUGGCAGUGUUACAUAAUGUGUAAAGAAAUGUUCACUAUUUCUUCAACAGGUUUUUGGGAACGGGUACCAUACCUUAGUGCAUGAAAUAUCAACAUGGCAAUUUUUCUAAAUACAUUAUCAUCAGUAUUUUAUUAUGAAAAUGCAUUACAUCUCUUCUGCUUUUUUAUCUUUUGGAUGGGGGAAUCCACAUAGUCACCACUAUGUUGUGUAAAAAAUAAAACAAAAACGAGUUAAACUUCAUUCCCCCCCCCCUCAAAAAUGCAGUGUCCAGUUUCUCUGGGAGUCGAAAGUGAAGAGUAAAAAGAAAGACUCAACAGACCUAAUCAUCCCAAUCCGACCAUCGGUCAGUCCCAGAAAAGAAAUAUCAUGCGGCAAAUUUAGUGUACUAGAUUUCUCUUUUUACAGUUUAACACAUUUUAUACAAGUACACAUGUUCAUACAUUGUCAUUUUUGUUUCAUUUUAGGGGUUAUUUCUUUACUUAAGGUGCUGGUAAUUUUGGGUGACAUUUCUCAGAAGUCUUCUGUCAAACAUUCAUGUAACAAGUGAGUACCUUACGUCUGUGGAUGAGGCAAUAAGAAGAAAGGUCAAGUGUCUGGUCAAGCUGGCCAGUCCCUCUGUCCGAAGCCCCAGUGUGGUUCCUGGGGCCCCAAAGACAUUUACUCCCAACCAAAUUAGAACGUCCAGUUCGAACGAUUUCCAUCUUCCUGUCACUAGGGUAAUACAACUCCCAGCCUGCAUCAGCAAUGUCAUUUAACGUUGAUUAAAAGUCCCAAUGCUGUGGUCAUGGCACAUGACUAA